CACUGACACGCCUGGAUCAUUGCUCAGCCUGUUUUUAUUUCUAGAUGAGCAAAGUUUCAGGUGUGUAUGUGG
This 72-nucleotide microRNA precursor is filed under the name Rhodnius prolixus. RNAcentral describes it as "mir-87 microRNA precursor family". It matches the Rfam family "mir-87 microRNA precursor family". The record is from Rfam by way of RNAcentral. Lineage: Eukaryota; Metazoa; Arthropoda; Insecta; Hemiptera; Reduviidae.